CAUAGCGACUAUCGUGGCAUAUCAAUAACGGAGGAAAAGAAACUAACAAGGAUUCCCCUAGUAACGGCGAGUGAAGCGGGAAGAGCUCAAAUUUGAAAUCUUCAAGGUUUGACCUUGACGAAUUGUAGUUUAAAGAAGUGUUUUCGGUUAGAGGAGUAGUAAAAGUUCUUUGGAAUAGGACAUCAUAGAGGGUGAGAAUCCCGUAUUUGACUAUUCUUUCUAGCUUUGUGAUACACUUUCAAAGAGUCGGAUUGUUUGGGAAUGCAGUCCAAAAUGGGUGGUAAAUUUCAUCUAAAGCUAAAUAUUGGCGAGAGACCGAUAGCGAACAAGUACCGUGAGGGAAAGAUGAAAAGAACUUUGAAAAGAGAGUUAGACAGUACGUGAAAUUGUCAAAAGGGAAGCGUUUGACACCAGUGUUGUUUUUCCGAAAAUCAAUUAAAAAUUGAUUCAUGCCAGGUUGUAUUGACCUUAUCAGCUUGCAAUUUGGUUUUGGGUCUCUUUUUGAUGCACUUUUCGGUUAACAAGUCAACAUCAAUUUCCUUUGCUGUAAAAAGGUAAGAGGAAGGUGGCUUCAAUUUCGGUUGAAGUGUUUAUAGCCUUUUAUCUCUGCAGUCGGGGAGAUUGAGGUCUGCAGCGUAGAUCCUUCGGGGCUAGAUACAUUUAUGCUAAGUUAUAGCUUUUCAUAGACAACUUGUUGACUAUGUGUAGUCAUGUAGCUUACUCGUAAGUGCUAUAUUACCUACGCUUAGGAUGUUGAUAGUCACAGCGUGUAC
This 773-nucleotide ribosomal RNA is filed under the name uncultured Neocallimastigales. RNAcentral describes it as "partial large subunit ribosomal RNA". It matches the Rfam family "Eukaryotic large subunit ribosomal RNA", at positions 17 to 644 of the family's 3401-position model. The record is from RNAcentral. Lineage: Eukaryota; Fungi; Neocallimastigomycota; Neocallimastigomycetes; Neocallimastigales.